RNAcentral lists this transfer RNA (62 nucleotides) under Helochares sp. BMNH1425100. RNAcentral describes it as "tRNA-Cys". Lineage: Eukaryota; Metazoa; Arthropoda; Insecta; Coleoptera; Hydrophilidae. The record is from RNAcentral.
GGUCUUAUAGUCAAAUAUGAUUUUAAAUUGCAAAUUUAAAGGUAGAGUCUCUCUUAAGGCUU